AUGCCCUUCACUACGGAAUAGCCUCGGGAAACUGAGAGUAAUACCGUAUACGCCCUUUGGGGAAAGAUUUAUCGGUGAAGGAUUAGCCCGCGUCUGAUUAGAUAGUUGGUGGGGUAACGGCCUACCAAGUCGACGAUCAGUAGCUGGUUUGAGAGGAUGAUCAGCAACACUGGGACUGAGACACGGCCCAGACUCCUACGGGAGGCAGCAGUGGGGAAUCUUAGACAAUGGGCGCAAGUGAUCUAGCCAUGCCGCGUGAGUGACGAAGGCCUUAGGGUCGUAAAGCUCUUUCGCCAGGGAUGAUAAUGACAGUACCUGGUAAAGAAACCCCGGCUAACUCCGUGCCAGCAGCCGCGGUAAUACGGAGGGGGUUAGCGUUGUUCGGAAUUACUGGGCGUAAAGCGCGCGUAGGGGAUUGGAAAGUUGGGGGUGAAAUCCCGGGGCUCAACCCCGAACUGCCUCCAAAACUAUCAGUCUAGAGUUCGAGAGAGGUGAGUGGAAUUCCAAGUGUAGAGGUGAAAUUCGUAGAUAUUUGGAGGAACACCAGUGGCGAAGGGGCUCACUGGCUCGAUACUGACGCUGAGGUGCGAAAGUGUGGGGAGCAAACAGGAUUAGAUACCCUGGUAGUCCACACCGUAAACGAUGAAUGCCAGACGUCGGGGGGCUUGCCUUCGGUGUCACACCUAACGGAUUAAGCAUUCCGCCUGGGGAGUA
RNAcentral lists this ribosomal RNA (714 nucleotides) under uncultured bacterium. Its description in RNAcentral is "bacterial SSU rRNA". It matches the Rfam family "Bacterial small subunit ribosomal RNA", at positions 126 to 882 of the family's 1533-position model. The record is from RNAcentral.